GGCCCAAUUUUUUUUCACAAUACCCCUCAUCUUUAUUGAAGCAAGAUUAUCAUUUAUAUUGAUCAUAGUGUAAUUUGUGUGUGUCCAUCUUUAAAGGACAAGAUACGAUAAGGCUUGAUUUUGGCCUCCCUAUUUUCUCAUUUUAUAAAUUUUGUUUUGGAAAGCUACUUAUUAUGUUAAAAUAUUACCUUAGGUAUGAAGUUUGUUUGAAUGAACCUCAAAACCAUUAAUUUCCCCUUUUCUGAAAUUAAUGGUUUUGAGGUUCAUUCAAACAAACUUCAACCCUCA
Molecule: long non-coding RNA, 288 nt
Filed under: Mytilus galloprovincialis (Mediterranean mussel)
Lineage: Eukaryota; Metazoa; Mollusca; Bivalvia; Mytilida; Mytilidae
Source: RNAcentral